GAUGAACGCUAGCUACAGGCUUAACACAUGCAAGUCGAGGGACCGGCGCACGGGUGAGUAACACGUAUCCAACCUGCCCUUUACUCGGGGAUAGCCUUUCGACAGAAAGAUUAAUACCCGAUGUAAAGGAUGGGGAUGCGUUCCAUUAGGUUGUUGGUGAGGUAACGGCUCACCAAGCCUUCGAUGGAUAGGGGUUCUGAGAGGAAUGGACCGCGAGUUGGAACUGAGACACGGUCCAAACUCCUACGGGAGGCAGAAGUGAGGAAGAGUGGUCAAUGGGCGUUAGCCUGAACCAGCCAAUUAGCGUGAAGGAGGAAGGCGUAGUUGUCGUAUACUUCUUUUAUAUAAGAAUAUGUAUUAUAUGAAUAAGGAUCGUCUAACUCCGUGCCAGCAGCCGCGGUAAUUC
RNAcentral lists this ribosomal RNA (406 nucleotides) under uncultured bacterium. RNAcentral describes it as "partial 16S ribosomal RNA". It matches the Rfam family "Bacterial small subunit ribosomal RNA", at positions 28 to 526 of the family's 1533-position model. The record is from RNAcentral.